UACGGAGGGUGCAAGCGUUAUCCGGAUUCACUGGGUUUAAAGGGUGCGUAGGUGGGCUAGUAAGUCCGUGGUGAAAUCCCUGAGCUUAACUUGGGAACUGCCAUUGAUACUAUCAGUCUUGAAUAUCGUGGAGGUAAGCGGAAUAUGUCAUGUAGCGGUGAAAUGCUUAGAUAUGACAUAGAACACCAAUUGCGAAGGCAGCUUGCUACACGGUCAUUGACACUGAGGCACGAAAGCGUGGGGAGCAAACAGG
Molecule: ribosomal RNA, 253 nt
Filed under: uncultured bacterium
Lineage: Bacteria
Description: partial 16S ribosomal RNA
Rfam family: Bacterial small subunit ribosomal RNA
Source: RNAcentral